RNAcentral lists this ribosomal RNA (759 nucleotides) under Triticum aestivum (bread wheat). RNAcentral's name for it is "partial small subunit ribosomal RNA". Lineage: Eukaryota; Viridiplantae; Streptophyta; Magnoliopsida; Poales; Poaceae. The record is from RNAcentral.
AUGGCUCAUGGAACAUUGCGUGAGCAUCUAUACAACACCAGAAACCCACCACUGUCGUGGCAGCAGCGCCUUGAGAUUUGCAUCGGUGCAGCCCGAGGACUGCAUUACCUCCACACUGGUGCAGAGCAAGGAAUCAUCCACCGUGACGUUAAGACUACCAACAUCCUGUUGGAUGAUAGGUUCAUGGCAAAGGUUUCCGACUUUGGUCUGUCUAAGGCUAGUCCAGACAUUGACAACACCCACAUGAGCACCGCUGUAAAAGGCACCUUUGGAUAUCUUGAUCCGGAGUACUUCCGGCUGCAGCGUCUCACCAAAAAAUCAGAUGUGUACUCUUUCGGGGUCGUGUUGUUUGAGACCCUGUGUGCACGCCCUGUGAUAAACACCAAGCUCCCCGAGGAGCAAGUGAGCUUGCGUGACUGGGCGCUAUCUUGCCGAAAGAAAGGUGCACUCGAGGAGAUCAUCGACCCCCGUGUUAAGGAGGAAAUCACCCUUGAGUGCUUCAGGAUAUUUGCAGAGAUAGCGGAGAAAUGUGUUGCUGAUCGCAGCAUAGAUAGGCCAUCAAUGGGUGAUGUACUCUGGAACCUUGAGGUCGCACUCCAGGUGCAGGAUAGUGCAAGCUACAACAGCAGCUGUGCCGAGAGUGCGUCAUCUCUUCAGAUCACCGCGGUGGAUUCAGACAGACCAUCUACCAACUCAACAAUUAGCGUUGCAGCACAGGAAGCCAUAUUUUCAGAUAUUGCACAUCCAGAAGGCCGAUAA